GAUGAACGCUGGCGGCGUGCCUAAUACAUGCAAGUCGAGCGAACAGACGAGGAGCUUGCCCCUCUGACGUUAGCGGCGGACGGGUGAGUAACACGUGGAUAACCUACCUAUAAGACUGGGAUAACUUCGGGAAACCGGAGCUAAUACCGGAUAAUAUAUUGAACCGCAUGGUUCAAUAGUGAAAGACGGUUUUGCUGUCACUUAUAGAUGGAUCCGCGCCGCAUUAGCUAGUUGGUAAGGUAACGGCUUACCAAGGCGACGAUGCGUAGCCGACCUGAGAGGGUGAUCGGCCACACUGGAACUGAGGCACGGUCCAGACUCCUACGGGAGGCAGCAGUAGGGAAUCUUCCGCAAUGGGCGAAAGCCUGACGGAGCAACGCCGCGUGAGUGAUGAAGGUCUUCGGAUCGUAAAACUCUGUUAUUAGGGAAGAACAAAUGUGUAAGUAACUAUGCACGUCUUGACGGUACCUAAUCAGAAAGCCACGGCUAACUACGUG
This 497-nucleotide ribosomal RNA is filed under the name uncultured bacterium. RNAcentral describes it as "partial 16S ribosomal RNA". It matches the Rfam family "Bacterial small subunit ribosomal RNA", at positions 28 to 507 of the family's 1533-position model. The record is from RNAcentral.